GAUGAAGAACGCAGCGAAAUGCGAUAAGUAAUGUGAAUUGCAGAAUUCAGUGAAUCAUCGAAUCUUUGAACGCACAUUGCGCCCGCCAGUAUUCUGGCGGGCAUGCCUGUCCGAGCGUCAUUUCAACCCUCGAACCCCUCCGGGGGGUCGGCGUUGGGGAUCGGCCCUGCCUCUUGGCGGUGGCUGUCUCCGAAAUACAGUGGCGGUCUCGCCGCAGCCUCUCCUGCGCAGUAGUUUGCACACUCGCAUCGGGAGCGCGGCGCGUCCACAGCCGUUAAACACCCAACUUCUGAAAUGUUGACCUCGGAUCAGGUAGGAAUACCCGCUGAACUUAAGCAUAUCAAUAAGCGGAGGA
Molecule: unclassified non-coding RNA, 355 nt
Filed under: soil metagenome
Description: partial contains 5.8S ribosomal RNA, internal transcribed spacer 2, and large subunit ribosomal RNA
Rfam family: 5.8S ribosomal RNA (bases 1-120)
Source: RNAcentral